CUUUGCUGUGUCUGCAAGACUGAGAUCGAAGCCUAUUUAGGGGAAAUACCAUUGUGGAGGUGGAAUUUUAAGGUCAAUUUACCACCCAAGAAGCUUAACUUCUGCCUGUUCUGUUCUCUGCAGAAACGAAGACUGCAGAGAGAGACGUCGUGGUGGAAACUAUCCAGAUGAACACUAUCUUUGAUGGAGAAGCCAUAGAUCCAGUGACCGGGGAAACAUAUGAAUUCAACUCAAAAACUGGAGCCAGAAAGUGGAAAGAUCCACUAACCCAAAUGCCAAAAUGGAAAGAGUCCAGCCACCAGGGAGCUGCCCCACGCAGAGUCACUGCUGGGGAAGGGAUGGGGUCACUGAGAAGUGCCAACCGGGAAGAAGAUGAGCUGAGUGGCAAAGCAUGGGCUGAGGAUGCUGGUCUGGGUUCCAGAAAUGAGGGUGGCAAGCUGGGCAACCCAAAGAACAGAAAUCCAGCCUUCAUGAACAGGGCUUCCCCCAAACCACACCCAGGAAAGUAAACGGGGUCUAAGGAGGGGCUUGUCAAUCACUGAGAUGCUGCCUCACCCUAAAUUCUAUGGGGACGG
Molecule: small RNA, 575 nt
Filed under: Pan troglodytes (chimpanzee)
Lineage: Eukaryota; Metazoa; Chordata; Mammalia; Primates; Hominidae
Description: retained intron
Source: RNAcentral